CUUGGUCAUUUAGAGGAGUAAAAGUCGUAACAAGGUUUCCGUAGGUGAACCUGCGGAAGGAUCAUUAAAAACGAUCACCGGUGUAUCCCAGCGACGUCGUUGACUCGACCCUGUGGGGCUGUCUUAAACUCACAGCAUUGCCAGUCGCGCGGAAUACUGAUGCCCUAGCCUUCAGGCUAGGGGCCGAGUGAAUCCCACCCGUGUCUACAUACUCUUGUUGCUUUGGCGGGCCGUGGCCUCCACUGUGGGCUCUGCCUGCAUGUGCCCGCCAGAGGAUCCAACUCUGAAUUUUAGUAAUGUCUGAGUACUAUAUAAUAGUUAAAACUUUCAACAACGGAUCUCUUGGUUCUGGCAUCGAUGAAGAACGCAGCGAAAUGCGAUAAGUAAUGUGAAUUGCAGAAUUCAGUGAAUCAUCGAAUCUUUGAACGCACAUUGCGCCCUGUGGUAUUCCGCAGGGCAUGCCUGUUCGAGCGUCAUUACAACCACUCAAGCCUGGCUUGGUAUUGGGGUGUGCGGUUCCGCAGCCCCUAAAAUCAGUGGCGGUGCCGGUGUGGCUCUACGCGUAGUAAUUCUUCUCGCGAUGGAGUUCCCCCGGAUACCUGCCAGAACCCCCCAAUUUUACAGGUUGACCUCGGAUCAGGUAGGGAUACCCGCUGAACUUAAGCAUAUCAAUAAGCGGAGGA
Molecule: ribosomal RNA, 683 nt
Filed under: uncultured fungus
Lineage: Eukaryota; Fungi
Description: eukaryotic LSU rRNA
Rfam family: 5.8S ribosomal RNA (bases 323-476)
Source: RNAcentral